Molecule: ribosomal RNA, 253 nt
Filed under: uncultured bacterium
Lineage: Bacteria
Description: partial 16S ribosomal RNA
Rfam family: Bacterial small subunit ribosomal RNA
Source: RNAcentral
UACGUAGGGUGCGAGCGUUGUCCGGAAUUAUUGGGCGUAAAGAGCUUGUAGGCGGUCUGUCGCGUCUGCUGUGAAAAUCCGGGGCUCAACCCCGGACUUGCAGUGGGUACGGGCAGACUAGAGUGUGGUAGGGGAGACUGGAAUUCCUGGUGUAGCGGUGAAAUGCGCAGAUAUCAGGAGGAACACCGAUGGCGAAGGCGGCUCUCUGGGACGGUACUGACGCUGAGACGCGAAAGCGUGGGGAGCGAACAGG